RNAcentral lists this long non-coding RNA (333 nucleotides) under Setaria viridis. RNAcentral describes it as "long non-coding RNA (SVIR_LNC003042)". Lineage: Eukaryota; Viridiplantae; Streptophyta; Magnoliopsida; Poales; Poaceae. The record is from RNAcentral.
CUUCGUACUCUGAAACUGGGGGGCCUGUGUUAACACCAAAAUUUGGAAAUAUGCUCUGAAAGGAAGGAAUCGGCCAAUGAUGCGAAAAAUAAUGAAAUCUCCUAAAUAAGACUAUUUGCGAGCUGGCCGCAGAAAUCAGGAAUGUGUGCAUGAAGAAAGAGAAAGCAAGAAAGCUAGAAGAUUAAAAGAAGGAAAUCAACGCACGCAUGUACACGGCAAGAGUUCCAAUUUGUUUGGCAUCCAAGGGAAGCGCACGUACGGGAGGUUGUCUUAUAGAAUAAAAUAUUCUGGAGAUAGAGUUGGUUAGGGAUAAGCUUGAUUAGAGAUAGAGUU